RNAcentral lists this ribosomal RNA (888 nucleotides) under uncultured bacterium. RNAcentral describes it as "bacterial SSU rRNA". It matches the Rfam family "Bacterial small subunit ribosomal RNA", at positions 40 to 915 of the family's 1533-position model. The record is from RNAcentral.
CGGCAGCUAAACAUGGCAAGUCGAAGCGGCAGCGGGAAAGUAGCUUGGCUACUUUUGCCGGCGAGCGGCGGACGGGUGAGUAAUGCCUGGGAAAUUGCCCAGUCGAAGGGGGAUAACAGUUGGAAACGACUGCUAAUACCGCAUAUGCCCUACGGGGGAAAGCAGGGGACCUUCGGGCCUUGCGCGAUUGGAUAUGCCCAGGUGGGAUUAGCUAGUUGGUGAGGUAAUGGCUCACCAAGGCGACGAUCCCUAGCUGGUCUGAGAGGAUGAUCAGCCACACUGGAACUGAGACACGGUCCAGACUCCUACGGGAGGCAGCAGUGGGGAAUAUUGCACAAUGGGGGAAACCCUGAUGCAGCCAUGCCGCGUGUGUGAAGAAGGCCUUCGGGUUGUAAAGCACUUUCAGCGAGGAGGAAAGGUCAGUAGCUAAUAUCUGCUGACUGUGACGUUACCUACAGAAGAAGGACCGGCUAACUCCGUGCCAGCAGCCGCGGUAAUACGGAGGGUCCAAGCGUUAAUCGGAAUUACUGGGCGUAAAGCGUGCGCAGGCGGUUUGUUAAGCGAGAUGUGAAAGCCCCGGGCUCAACCUGGGAAUUGCAUUUCGAACUGGCAAACUAGAGUCUUGUAGAGGGGGGGUAGAAUUCCAGGUGUAGCGGUGAAAUGCGUAGAGAUCUGGAGGAAUACCGGUGGCGAAAGGCGGCCCCCUGGACAAAGACUGACGCUCAGGCACGAAAGCGUGGGGAGCAAACAGGAUUAGAUACCCUGGUAGUCCACGCCGUAAACGAUGUCUACUCGGAGUUUGGUGUCUUGAACACUGGGCUCUCAAGCUAACGCAUUAAGUAGACCGCCUGGGGAGUACGGCCGCAAGCUAAACUCAAAGGAUUGACG